RNAcentral lists this ribosomal RNA (463 nucleotides) under uncultured bacterium. Its description in RNAcentral is "bacterial SSU rRNA". It matches the Rfam family "Bacterial small subunit ribosomal RNA", at positions 353 to 828 of the family's 1533-position model. The record is from RNAcentral.
AACCGGGAAUUUUGCGCAAUGGACGAAAGUCUGACGCAGUGACAUUGUGUGUGGGAUGAAGGCCUUUGGGUUGUAAACCACUGUGAUAAAGGAGAAAUACAAUUGAUAGUACUUUAUUAGAAAGCACCUGCUAACUACGUGCCAGAAGCCUCGGUAAUACGUAGGGUGCAAGCGUUAUCCGGAAUUACUGGGCGUGAAGAGUCUCGUAGGCGGUUUGUUAAGUGGUGGGUUAAAGACCAAGGCUCAACUUUGGGAAUGCCUGUCAAACUGACAAACUAGUGGAAAUUCGGGGAUGUUGGAAUUCUUGGUGGAGGAGUGAAAUCCGUUGAUAUCAAGAAGAACACCAAUGGCGAAGGCAGACAUCUAGGAUUUUCCAGACGCUGAUGAACGAAAGCUAGGGGAGCGAAAGGGAUUAGAGACCCCUGUAGUCCUAGCCGUAAACUUUGGACACUAGGCUAUCCGA